GGUCAAGUUAUUAAGGGUGCAGGGCGGAUGCCUUGGCACUAGGAGCCGAUGAAGGACGUGAUAAGCUGCGAUAAGCUUCGGGGAGUUGCACGUAAACUUUGAUCCGAAGAUUUCCGAAUGAGGAAACUCACUUAGAGUAAUGUCUAAGUAUCAUUAAGUGAAUACAUAGCUUAAUGAGGGGAACUCAGGGAACUGAAACAUCUAAGUACCUGAAGGAAGAGAAAGAAAUUCGAUUCCGUAAGUAGCGGCGAGCGAACGCGGAUUAGCCCAAACCAAUAAAGUUUUCUUUAUUGGGGUUGCGGACAUAUCAUAACGAAGAGGUAUCGUAAUUGAAGAGGUUUGGAAAGACCCACCACAGAAGGUAAUAGUCCUGUAUGUUAAACGAGAAGACUUCAGAUAUGAUCCAGAGUACCACGGGACACGUGAAACCCUGUGGGAAGCAGGAGGGACCACCCUCCAAGGCUAAAUACUACCUAGUGACCGAUAGCGUAUAGUACCGUGAGGGAAAGGUGAAAAGAACCCCGGGAGGGGAGUGAAAUAGAACCUGAAACCCUGCACUUACAAGCUGUGGAAGCACAUUUCUUGUGUGACCGCGUACUUUUUGUAGAACGGGCCAACGAGUUACGUUAAGUAGCAAGGUUAAGCACUUAAGGUGUGGAGCCGUAGCGAAAGCGAGUUUUAACUGAGCGUUCAGUUACUUGACGUAGACCCGAAACCGGGCGACCUACCCAUGAGCAGGAUGAAGCGAAAGUAAAAUUUCGUGGAGGUCCGAACCCACGAGCG
This 783-nucleotide ribosomal RNA is filed under the name Clostridioides difficile. Its description in RNAcentral is "partial 23S ribosomal RNA". It matches the Rfam family "Bacterial large subunit ribosomal RNA", at positions 1 to 788 of the family's 2925-position model. The record is from RNAcentral. Lineage: Bacteria; Bacillati; Bacillota; Clostridia; Peptostreptococcales; Peptostreptococcaceae.